AGCAAUGAAUAAAGUAAGAAAGGGUAGGAUAUCAUGAUGAUACAGAUUAUUAUAAAGCUGUUUCAUUAAUCUAUUUUGAGUUAUCCUUUGGAACUAUAAAUUUAUUAAUGAAUACUCUCUUUUGAUUUGUUUGAGAACAAUAAAAAACCCGUAACAGUUCAUUUUGCUACGGGUUUUUACUUUGUUAGAGUUUGCUGUUAUUUGGUAUAAAUUGAGAGUUUAGGAUGAUCCUUGUAAAGGUUUUUGUUCGCCAGCUCUUCCGAAUCCGUAAUUCGGUACAAAUAAUAUUUACUGUUUGGACAGAAUGCACUUUUAUCGGGGAAAUUGAAGAAACGAUGUCCUUGAGUCUUUUUCUUCAGGGUGUGAGUUUGUCCGUUUUCAUCAGUGUAAAUAUAGUCAAUGGGACCUUCGGGAUAUGCUUUGCGGACUACAGCCUGUUGGUUACGGAUAAUGUCUAUCAAACUGAAUCCUUCACCCCAUAAUUCUUUACGGCGUUCUAACCAAAUUGUUUCCAAUAGGUCUUGUUGUGAAAGAUUUGUAUUAAUGGUUUUUGCUCCUCUGGCUGUUUUUAAAUCAUUUAAUUUGUUAAUUGCAUCUGGGUCAUUCAGAUGUGCUUUUGCCUCUGCAUUUAUCAAAUAAAUUUCAGCAACGCGCAUCAAUACGAUAUCACCAAGUUGGUUUUCGAUAUCGCGGAAUCUGAAUUUAGAGUUACGCAUCCAUACAUAGGCUGCUGAUUCAACGUCAGCUCCCGGAUCUGUAGCCCAGAACAGCAUUUCUUUACGAUAAUCACCAUCUUCGAACAAAUCACGGAAGUAAGGGUCUACAUUGAAGCUAUAAUAGUAUGAUCCUUUAGUUGUAGUAUCUAAAUAAUGAAACUGAUAACUGGCAUUACUUUGAUCGUUGGUUUGAGCAUGCCCCCAAAUCCAUUCUUUAUUGUCUACAGAAUUGAAUCCAGCUUUAUAUUCACUUUCAGUCAUUAGAUAAUUGUUUUUAGCUAACAAUUUGUCUGAGUAAGUUUUAGCUUUUUCCCAUUGACGAGCAUAAAGACAGGCACGUGAGAGAAUACCUAGGACAACUUCAUUAUCAAUUUUGUGUUUGGCGUUACGUACAUAAGUUUCGGGAAUAAGUUCUAAUGCUUCUUCUAAAUCAUUGAUAGAUUGCGCAUAUACUUCACUGACACUUGAUGCAGGUUUUCCUUCAGCUGCAAUUGUUUCAUCUGUUGAUUGUGUAUAGAUAGGUGCACAUACAGCAUCUGGAUCUUUAUCAAUGGCAAAAGAAUAACAAGAAGCUAGAUGUAAAUAUAGAAAACCACGUAAGGCUAACGCUUGUCCCUUGAUUCGAUUUCUGUCAAUUUGUGUACUAGCAUUGCCCUAGGGCGGUGCGGAGCCGAUGUUGGGAUACCACCCUUCUGUUGCUGAGAUUCUAACGCGAGGAGUAACGACCCUGCGGACCCUCUCAGGCAGGCGGUUUGACUGGGGCGGUCGCCUCCGAAAGAGUAACGGAGGCGCCCAAAGGUUCCCUCAGGCCGGACAGAAACCGGCCGAAGAGUGCAAAGGCAGAAGGGAGCUUGACUGCGAGACCAACAAGUCGAGCAGAGACGAAAGUCGGGCUUAGUGAUCCGGUGGUACUGGGUGGAAAGGCCAUCGCUCAACGGAUAAAAGCUACCCUGGGGAUAACAGGCUAAUCUCUCCCAAGAGUUCAUAUCGACGGGGAGGUUUGGCACCUCGAUGUCGGCUCAUCACAUCCUGGGGCUGAAGUAGGUCCCAAGGGUUGGGCUGUUCGCCCAUUAAAGUGGUACGCGAGCUGGGUUCAAAACGUCGUGAGACAGUUUGGUUCAUAUCCAUCGCGGGCGAAAGAAGUUUGAGAGGAGCUGCUCCUAGUACGAGAGGACCGGAGUGGACGGAUCAACGGUGUCCCAGUUGUCACGCCAGUGGCACGGCUGGAAAGCCGCAUCCGGGAAGGAUAAACGCUGAAAGCAUCUAAGCGCGAAGCCAACCUCAAGAUGAGACUUCUCAUCAGCAAUGAGUAAGACCCCUUACAGACGAUGAGGUAGAUAGGUUAUGAGUGGAAGAGCCGCAAGGCUUGGAGCGACAUAAAACUAAUAGGUCGAGGUCUUAACU
Molecule: ribosomal RNA, 2120 nt
Filed under: human gut metagenome
Description: bacterial LSU rRNA
Rfam family: Bacterial large subunit ribosomal RNA (bases 1231-2120)
Source: RNAcentral